AAGAAUGUUAGUUCCUGCUCGUCGCCGAGUCGUUUCCUGUAAUCGCACAGUGUUGUGAGACGGAGAACGCCAUGUGUGUCCACGCUAAGCUUUUUUCUCUGAUAUUUUGAAGAACCGGAAGGUGUUUUUUAUCUCGGAGCGUCGCUAACAUUGCGCCCAUCUCCCCGUGUGGAGGGGGCAAGAUGGCGGACCCAAUUAUGGACCUCUUUGAGGACACGCCCUUGUUCAACCUGGAUGCCCUCCCGGAUGAUUCCUAUUCUCAUGGUUCCUCGGACCCUGUGGAGGAGGCUCUUAAACUGGCGCUGGGUCAGAUAGACGCACCGGAGCCCGAGCUCACGGUCAACGCCGGCCUCGGCGUACCUGUAGCGGCUCCCGCCGUACCCGAACUUGCCCCCGUUUCGGUCCCCGCGCCACAGCCGGUGGUAGCGGCUCACACGGUCUCUUUAGCCACAAUUCCGACUGUCACCCAAGCCCCCGCUGCUGUCAAUACCGUACCUCAAGUUCAAGCCCAGGUCACUGUCCCUAUUGCAUGCAACACCAGCGUGGCCACCACUACCGCGGUCCUGCUGAACUCACCGCUGACCGUCUCCAGCCCUUCCAUCACCACCACCGCCGCCACACAGCAGCUCGCACAGUUGGCUCAGCAGCUCACCCCCCAGCAGUUGGCGGCCAUCACUCAGCAAGCCGGUGGUAAAAUCGUCAUUCUCAAGGGUCCACAAGGACAAGCCCAGGUCCUGCAGACUGUAUCGGGAGCCACCGGGCCGACGGGCGGCAAGGUUAUCCGUCUGCUGUCCGGCUCGCCCCUCAAACCGGGCAUGUCCAUAUUACAAGGAGGGGCGGUCUUGAACCAAGGGCAAACCCAGGUCAAAGUCGGGGCGGCGGGCGUGCAGAGGCUGCUGCAGUCGGCCAACGGGCCCGUGAAGCAGCUGCUGCUCACCUCCAUGCCCCAGCAAAUGCAGCAGACCCAAGGCCAGCAGGUCCAGGUGCAGAUUUCGCCACAAACACAAGUCCAGAGCCAGCCGGCUCAUAUCCAAGUCCAAGCGCCGAAUCAGGUGCAGCUGCAGCCAGCCAUGCAGGCCCAGACACCGGGGAGCGAAGCAAAGCGCAUCACUCUGGUCCUCCAGCAGCCCUCGCAGGCUGCCGCCGCGACGCAAGCGGGCCAAACGGUUUCCGCCCAGCCCCAGGUCACGCAGGUUCAACAAACAGCCCAAGGAGGUCAGCAACAGGCCCAGGCCCCGACUCGAUUGGUCCUGGGUCAGCUCCCCGGGGGAAAACUAGUGCUCCAGGGAAGCCAGCUUGCAGCCUUGACCCAGGCCCGGGCUGCGGGCCAGGCAGGAGGGCAGCCCAAAGUCCUCACCAUCCAGCUGCAGGUGCAGCAGCAGCCUAACCAGCAAGGAGGCGUUAAGUACCAACUGGUGUCAGGAGCUGGCAAUGCCGGCAGCCCGCAGAUACUGCAGAUAUCCCAAGGCCAAGGAGGGCAGAGGCUGGCAGUUCCUUUCAAAAUGCUCCUGCAGCCUCAGACAAGCUCGGCGUCGACAGCCGGCGGGGCUGUCUCUGUGGUGAAGGUUGUCAACUCUUCAACAGCGGGACCCUCCAGCACGACCACCUCCCCGACGCAGACCAUCCGCAUCGCCAAGGCCCCCGGUGAUUCCUCCUCUGUGCGCCGUGUGGAAAUCUUGUGCAAGCAAGAGAAGGCUAACCGUAUUGUUGCUGAAGCUAUAGCAAGGGCCAAGGCACGGGGCGAGAAGAACCUUCCUCGAGUGCUCAACCAGGACGAACUUCCGGCCUCACAAACCUCGCCAGAAAUAGGGGAAACGGUCACGGUGGUGUCCACCGCAAAGAAGAAGACAAGCGGUGGAGGGAGCAAGAAGAAAAGCCCUGUGGCUGCAGGGAUACCAUCCAAACUGGCAGGGGCGGCGGACAAAAAAGGCAAAGCCAAACCUGCCGGAGGGACAGUUGUAGUUGCCGGAGGCACCGUAAUACCUGUGGCAGGAAACAAGAGCAAAAGUAAAACCAAGACAAACACGAUUACUCUUGUGGGAGCCAAAAAGAGAAAAAGGAAUCCUUCCUCCGAGCAUUCAGACGGGGAGCUGAGUCCGGCCUCACCUGCUGCGCUGGAGGAAGACCUGACCAUGAAACGGCGCUCUAACCGCGUGGUGAAAAGAAAGAAGUACACGGAAGACCUGGACAUCAAGAUAACCGACGACGAGGACGAGCAGGAAGAUGUCGACGUCAUGACGACCACGGCGGCCGUGGCCUCCAUCAGCACGCAGCCUUUAGUGGCGGCGCCAGCAGCGGCGGCCGCAGCUCACGUCCAGCAGGGAAUGGCGUUCGACGCUGACGGCAUGCCUGGCAUGCAGUUCUUCGUGGAAAACCCAAGUGAAGAAGACGCGGCCAUUGUGGAUAAAGUCCUUUCCAUGCGAUUAACAAAGAAAGAAGUCUUCCAAGGCCAGUACACCAAUGUCGAGGAAUUCUUUGUGAAGUACAAGAACUAUUCAUACUUGCACUGUGAAUGGGCCAGCUUGGAGCAGCUGGAGAAGGACAAGAGGAUCCAUCAAAAGAUCAAAAGGUUCAAGACCAAACAUGCGCAGAUGAGGCAUAUCUUCCAGGAGGAGGAGGAGCUUUUCAACCCGGACUACGUGGAAGCGGACAGGAUCCUGGACGAGUCGCACAGUGUAGACAAAGACAACGGCGAGCCUGUGGUGUACUACUUGGUGAAGUGGUGCUCCCUGCCUUACGAAGACGCCACAUGGGAGCUGAAGGAGGACGUGGACGAGGGAAAGGUGGAAGAGUUCCGUAAACUCCUAAACCGGCAACCCCGUCUCAAGAGAACGACCCGACCGCCGGCUGGCUCCUGGAAGAAGUUGGAGGAGACCAAAGAGUACAAGAAUGGGAACGUACUUAGAGAGUAUCAACUGGAGGGUGUCAACUGGCUGCUCUUCAACUGGUACAACAGGCAAAACUGCAUCCUGGCAGACGAGAUGGGUCUCGGGAAGACCAUCCAGUCCAUCGCACUCCUGUCUGAGAUUUACGCUGCUGGGCUCCAAGGCCCCUUCCUCGUCAUCGCACCCCUUUCCACCAUCACAAACUGGGAGCGGGAGUUCUCCACAUGGACCGACAUGAACGCCAUUGUGUACCACGGCAGCUUAGCCAGCAGGCAGAUGAUCCAACAGUACGAGAUGUACAGCAAAGACGACAAGGAACAUUUAAUCCCAGGCGCGUACAAGUUCGAUGCCCUCAUCACUACUUUUGAGAUGAUACUGUCCGACUGUCCCGAGUUGAGGGAGAUCUCCUGGCGUUGCGUGAUCAUCGACGAGGCUCAUCGCCUGAAGAAUCGCAACUGCAAGCUGUUGGACAGCUUGAAGAUGUUGGACCUGGAACACAAAGUGUUGUUGACCGGCACUCCCCUGCAGAACACCGUGGAGGAACUCUUCAGUUUGCUUCAUUUCCUGGAGCCUGCCCAAUUCUCAUCCGAGAUCGAAUUCCUCAGAGAUUUUGGAGACCUCAAAACAGAGGAGCAGGUUCAGAAGUUGCAGGCGAUAUUGAAGCCAAUGAUGUUGCGAAGGCUCAAAGAGGACGUUGAGAAGAAUUUGGCACCCAAACAAGAGACCAUCAUUGAGGUUGAGUUGACAGAUGUCCAGAAGAAGUACUACCGAGCCAUUCUGGAGAGGAACUUCAAUUUUCUCAGCUUAGGAGCAAACAGUAACAGCAACGUGCCCAACCUGCUCAACACCAUGAUGGAGCUGCGCAAGUGCUGCAACCACCCUUACCUCAUCAAUGGUGCAGAGGAGAAGAUUGUUGCGGAGUUACGAAUGGUGUACGACCCCAUGGCCCCGGACUUCCACUUGCAGGCCCUGAUUCGGUCCGCUGGCAAGCUCGUCCUGCUGGACAAGCUGCUGCCACGUCUCAAAGCUGGCGGCCACAAAGUGCUCAUCUUCUCCCAAAUGGUGCGCUGCUUAGACAUUCUGGAGGACUACCUCAUCAACAAGAGAUACACUUAUGAGCGGAUUGACGGCAGAGUGCGUGGCAACCUGCGACAGGCUGCCAUCGAUCGCUUUAGCAAGCCCGACUCGGACCGCUUUGUCUUUCUGCUGUGUACUCGAGCUGGAGGCUUGGGUAUCAACCUCACUGCUGCUGACACCUGUGUCAUAUUUGACUCGGACUGGAAUCCUCAGAACGACCUCCAGGCACAAGCCCGAUGUCAUCGUAUUGGCCAGUCUAAGGCGGUCAAGGUCUACCGUCUGAUUACCAGGAACUCGUACGAGAGAGAGAUGCUCGACAAAGCCAGUCUGAAGCUGGGCCUCGACCGUGCCGUUUUGCAGAGCAUGAGUGGCAACAAAGACAGCAGUGUUAACGGAAUCCAGCAGUUUUCCAAGAAGGAGAUUGAGGACUUGCUGAGGAAGGGAGCUUACGCCGCCAUCAUGGACGAGAACGAUGAGGGCAGUCGCUUCUGUGAGGAAGACAUCGACCAGAUCCUCCAGCGAAGAGCCACCACCAUCACCAUCGAGAGCGAGGGCAAGGGCUCCACCUUCUCAAAGGCCAGCUUUGUGGCCUCCGAGAACCGUAACGACAUUGCCCUCGAUGACCCGGAAUUCUGGGAGAAGUGGGCCAAGAAAGCCGACAUAGACAUGGACAUCCUCAACCGAAAAAACACGCUAGUGAUCGACACUCCCAGAGUACGCAAGCAGACGCGUCAGUAUUCCAGUUUGCGAGGAGAGGGUGGCGAGCUAUCCGAUAUGGACAGUGAUGAAGAGUACCCACCUGCCAAUUCCAGACACUCUCGUUCUUCCCGACGCUCGGAUCGUCACAGCGGAGUGGGUUACGGACGCACAGACUGUUUCCGCGUGGAAAAACAUCUGCUCGUCUAUGGUUGGGGGCGCUGGAGGGACAUUCUGUCCCACGCCAGAUGUAAGCGCCGCCUGAGUGAGCGCGACGUGGAGACCAUCUGCCGCGUCAUCCUGGUGUUUUGUCUCCUGCACUACCGUGGCGACGAGAACAUCAAGAGUUUCAUCUGGGAACUCAUCACACCCCCGGAGAACGGGCGUGAGCCCCAAACACUACUCAACCACUCUGGCCUCUCCAUCCCUGUGCCCCGAGGCAGGAAGGGCAAGAGGGUAAAAGCCCAGAGCACAUUUGACGUGCAGAAAGUGGAAUGGAUCCGCAAGUAUAACCCUGAUACCUUGCUGCUGGACGACAGUUACCGCAAGCACCUCAAGCACCAGUGCAACAAGGUGUUGCUGAGGGUGCGUAUGCUCUACUACCUCAAGCAGGAGGUGAUCGGUGACCAUGCUGACUCGGUCCUGAAAGGGGCAGACAUCAGAGAUGUGGACAUCUGGAUACCGGAGAUGGAGCAGCAAGAGGUCCCUGCAGGAUGGUGGGAUGCUGAGGCUGACCGCUCUCUGCUGGCGGGUGUUUUCAAACACGGUUACGAGAUGUACACCACCAUGCGCGCCGACGGACGCCUGUGUUUCCUGGAGAAGGUUGGCCGGCCCGACGACAAGGCCAUCGAUGCGGAGCAACAUGUAGGGGAUGGCGAGCUGGGAGACGAAGGGGAUUAUGACAAAUACUCUGAGGACCCCGAGUUCAAGCCUGCGUCAAGACCACCAAAAGAUUCAUACGAGGAGCAUGACAGUGUGAAGAUAGAGGAGGAAAUCACCGUGGAAGACAAGUCCGUCCCAGCCAUCGUGGAAAGCUUCUCUAACCAGACCCAGAGUGGCUGCGAUUGGCCCUCCAGUUCGUCGCUUACAGCGCGCCUGCGGCGCUUGAUCACAGCUUACCAGCGCAGCUACAGGCAGGAGCAGCUGAAGAUCGAAGCUGAGGCCAAGGGCGACCGCAGGCGCAGGAGGUGUGAGCAAGCCAGCAAGCUGAAGGAGAUCGCACGGCAAGAGCGACAACAAAGGUGGACACGCAGGGAAGAAUGUGAUUUCUACCGCGUCGUGUCAACUUUUGGCGUGGAAAAGAUCAAAAAGGAACCAGGUCUUCCCGAGGGCGAAGAAGCGGAUUAUGACUGGACGAGAUUUCGCACCUUCGCCCGUUUGGAUAAAAAAACUGACGAGAGCCUUAGCCGGUACUUCCGCUCUUUCUUAAACAUGUGCCGGAGAGUGUGCCACUUGCGCCCUGGCCGUGAUGAGGACACACCAUCGCUUCCUCAGACAGUGGCCCCCAUCACGGAGGAACGUGCUUCCCGGACACUUUACCGCAUUAGCCUCCUCCGUCGCCUCCGCGACCGAGUCCUGCCCCACCCCUCCCUGGAGGAGCGCCUGCUGCUGGCGCCGCCCGGCACCGAGUUGCCCGCCUGGUGGAGCAUACCCUACCACGACCGUCAGCUGAUGCUGGGCGCGGCCAUUCACGGCAUCAGCCGCACGGAGCUCUCCAUCUUCUCAGACCCUCAGUUCACGUUCGUCGCCGCCCGAGACGAGUUCAUCCAGAACCAGCAAGCCCAGCCGCAGCCUCAGCCGCAGCCCAUCAUGCACCUGGGCCAACCCAAGUCCGACGGGGAGGUGUCCGCUGGGAAGGAGGACGGGAAGGAGGAGGAGAUUCGGUUGCUCGGGGGUGCAAUUGGUGCUAAUCUACAGAGUACGCCUUUGAGCCACCAUGACGCCAAGGCCAGAGGGCAGACGUGGAACUUCAAGAAGAACAAGGUCAAGGAAGGAAGCAAAGGAGAAGAGGGAGCCUCGGAUACGGAUUCCGAUUCCGAUUCGGGGUCGUCAUCUUCUGACCGAUCAGGCAGCAGCGAUGACAGCGGAGACAGUGAUGAAGAGGUGGAUGGAGCAGGUGUGAAGACAUGCGAUGAAGAAAAUAGUUUACUCUCCAUGGCUCUGUCUCAAGAUGGCAUUCCACCCACGGAACCCAUAAGAGUAGAAUGGCCCAAGGACCGUGUGCUGAUCAACCGCUUGGACAGUUUGUGUACACUGGUGCUGACUGGUCAGUGGCCAUCGGGGCGGCGCUACGUCACCGAGGCUCAUCUCAACCCAAACUCUGAGCUGGCGGGAGACCCGAUGGCGUAUGCCCGCACGGCCCGCAAGCCCAUCGGCAUGCCUGGAGGAGAAGGAGAGGACGGAGAAUUCACCGUCAAGCUCCUCAAGGAGGAGGGUCUCAAGCUCACCUUCUCCAAGCAGGCGCUGAUGCCCAACGGGUCUGGGGGCGAGAGCAGCCGCAAGCGACGCAAGGACCAAGAGUCAUCAGACCCAGAAGGACUCCUCGAUCCACUGGAGCGUAUUCCUCGGCGCCGGGACCCCCCCACCUGGCUCAAAGAGAACCCAGAUUACGAGGUGGAAGGGGACAUGCUGGAGGUGCAACCAUUUCUUCUUGUAAACCGGAGCAAGAGGAAGAGGAGGAGAAGGGCAGAUAAAGUCCUGACUGGCAAUGAGAAGAUCAAACUUAUUAACAUGAGGACAGGGAAGAAGAUUGGAGCUGCAUUCUGUCCCAUGCUGCAAGACCUCAGAGAAUAUCUGGAGGAAAACCCCGAUUUCGCCGUCAUGCCCAAUUGGUCGGAAACAGUUCGAAACUCUGGCUUUUUGCCAGAGACCCUCUCCCAUCGCCUCCUGACCGAAUACACGGAGAUCCCCAAGAGGAGCCGCCACCGCCACCACCACCGCCACCAUCACCAUCACCACCACCACCAGCAGCAGCAGCACACUCCACAGCCCACGCCCGAGAACCCCUACCUGGAAGGCGUGGAGGAGGAGACCCUGGUCUCGGACGGCGCCUACAUGAUGGACGAGGAGGACCUGGACACCUCCCAACACUUCCUCACCAGCCCGGACUUCGACGUCAAAAUGGAGGCCGGCGACAGCCUCUCCCAAGGAGACUAUGACAGCUCGGACCAGGAGGCGCUGUUGGACGACGUCAUCCUCGCCCAGAAGGACUCUGACUCCUCGUCCAGCUCGGAGGACUGACUCUGAACCCCCACCUGGGUCCCCCGCCAUCAUUAUUCCUCAUUUAUUUCUACCUUGUACACGAUGAAUUUAUGUUGUUACUUUUAUGGAUUUAUUUUAAAAUAGGGUUUUUGUUUUUUCUCCAUGAAAGAGCUGGUUUGCACCCACCUUUUCUUUUUUUUCCCCCCCACCCAUCAGCAAGAACUUCAACCUCUCUGCCCAGUCCUCCACUGUCCGACGGCCGCCAUCUUCCUCCCGAGCGAAGGAGUUCCCCAUCGCAUUCCCAGCUGUGACCAAAAGGGGACCCCCUGGCUGUAGAUACCUUUUUCCUAAUCGGGGACCUCCUCAACUUCACCCCAGCCCGGCGCCACCGUCUUAAACUACCGGUACGGACGCAGCGGUCAAUGUUUUUAACUUGUGCGGGGAAGGGGAAGGCGUGCGGCGCAUUAGCUACCGAGGAUGGUUGUAUUCUACAUGUAGAUCAGCGAUCUUCAGUGAAAUACGCUCCGUCUGUGUCUUAUUUCCACGUCCGCCCAGCAGCUGGACACCAGUGGUUCUUAACCAAAAGCCCGGAAACAGCCCCAAAAAACAUCUGGUAAUACACUUUUCCACCACAUGUAGCAGUAUUGUCAAUGUUAAAACAAGCGGAAGAAUUCUGGCGCUCAAGUGCAAAAAAUAGGACUAAAGUGGUGAAGCUCUAUUUUCAUUUGCACUUACGUUUUAUUGACAGUUUAUUUAGGAAACUGUCAGGUUCAAACACUGAUGACAUCUAUUAAACAAGACAAGAAGCAAGGAAUUAAGCAGAGACAGAAUUACAUUUGGC
RNA transcript from Entelurus aequoreus (snake pipefish), 8700 nucleotides. It is a transcript of the gene named chromodomain-helicase-DNA-binding protein 8-like, with no coding region annotated. The transcript has 40 exons. NCBI's taxonomy places the organism in Eukaryota, Metazoa, Chordata, Actinopteri, Syngnathiformes, Syngnathidae. The record is from RefSeq and is a predicted model, not a curated record.